UCUAUUAAUACUGGGGGCUCAUGACGGUACUGUAAGAAUAAGCACCGGCUAACUACGUGCCAGCAGCCGCGGUAAUACGUAGGGUGCAAGCGUUAAUCGGAAUUACUGGGCGUAAAGCGUGCGCAGGCGGUUAUAUAAGACAGAUGUGAAAUCCCCGGGCUCAACCUGGGAACUGCAUUUGAGACUGUAUAGCUAGAGUACGGUAGAGGGGGAUGGAAUUCCGCGUGUAGCAGUGAAAUGCGUAGAUAUGCGGAGGAACACCGAUGGCGAAGGCAAUCCCCUGGACCUGUACUGACGCUCAUGCACGAAAGCGUGGGGAGCAAACAGGAUUAGAUACCCUGGUAGUCCACGCCCUAAACGAUGUCAACUGGUUGUUGGGUCUUAACUGACUCAGUAACGAAGCUAACGCGUGAAGUUGACCGCCUGGGGAGUACGGCCGCAAGGUUGAAACUCAAAUGAAUUGACGGG
RNAcentral lists this ribosomal RNA (468 nucleotides) under uncultured bacterium. RNAcentral's name for it is "bacterial SSU rRNA". It matches the Rfam family "Bacterial small subunit ribosomal RNA", at positions 450 to 917 of the family's 1533-position model. The record is from RNAcentral.